GACGAACGCUGGCGGCGUGCCUAAUACAUGCAAGUCGAACGAGAGCGACCGGUGCUUGCACUGGUCAAUCUAGUGGCGAACGGGUGAGUAACACGUGGGUAACCUGCCCAUCAGAGGGGGAUAACAUCCGGAAACGGAUGCUAAAACCGCAUAGGUCUUCGAGCCGCAUGGCUUGAAGAGGAAAAGAGGCGCAAGCUUCUGCUGAUGGAUGGACCCGCGGUGCAUUAGCUAGUUGGUGAGGUAACGGCUCACCAAGGCCGUGAUGCAUAGCCGACCUGAGAGGGUGAUCGGCCACAUUGGGACUGAGACACGGCCCAAACUCCUACGGGAGGCAGCAGCAGGGAAUCUUCCGCAAUGGACGCAAGUCUGACGGAGCAACGCCGCGUGAGUGAAGAAGGUUUUCGGAUCGUAAAACUCUGUUGUUAGAGAAGAACAAGUGCUAGAGUAACUGUUAGCGCCUUGACGGUAUCUAACCAGAAAGCCACGGCUAACUACGUG
Molecule: ribosomal RNA, 498 nt
Filed under: uncultured bacterium
Lineage: Bacteria
Description: partial 16S ribosomal RNA
Rfam family: Bacterial small subunit ribosomal RNA
Source: RNAcentral